GGGGGGAGCAAGCGUUGUUCGGAUUUACUGGGCGUAAAGGGCGCGUAGGCGGCCACUGCAAGUCGACUGUGAAAUCUCCGGGCUUAACCCGGAAAGGUCAGCCGAUACUGCAGGGCUAGAGUGCAGAAGGGGCAACUGGAAUUCUCGGUGUAGCGGUGAAAUGCGUAGAUAUCGAGAGGAACACCUGCGGCGAAGGCGGGUUGCUGGGCUGACACUGACGCUGAGGCGCGAAAGCUAGGGGAGCGAACGGGAUUAGAUACCCCGGUAGUCCUAGCCUUAAACGAUGAAUGCUUGGUGUCUGGGGUUUUAUAGUCCCCGGGUGCCGUCGCUAACGCUUUAAGCAUUCCGCCUGGGGAGUACGGUCGCAAGACUGAA
This 375-nucleotide ribosomal RNA is filed under the name uncultured bacterium. RNAcentral's name for it is "bacterial SSU rRNA". It matches the Rfam family "Bacterial small subunit ribosomal RNA", at positions 527 to 898 of the family's 1533-position model. The record is from RNAcentral.